GACGAACGCUGGCGGCGUGCUUAACGCAUGCAAGUCGAACGGAAAGGCCCUGCUUUUGUGGGGUGCUCGAGUGGCGAACGGGUGAGUAACACGUGAGUAACCUGCCCUUGACUUUGGGAUAACUUCAGGAAACUGGGGCUAAUACCGGAUAGGAGCUCCUGCUGCAUGGUGGGGGUUGGAAAGUUUCGGCGGUUGGGGAUGGACUCGCGGCUUAUCAGCUUGUUGGUGGGGUAGUGGCUUACCAAGGCUUUGACGGGUAGCCGGCCUGAGAGGGUGACCGGCCACAUUGGGACUGAGAUACGGCCCAGACUCCUACGGGAGGCAGCAGUGGGGAAUAUUGCACAAUGGGCGGAAGCCUGAUGCAUCAACGCCGCGUGCGGGAUGACGGCCUUCGGGUUGUAAACCGCUUUCGCCUGUGACGAAGCGUGAGUGACGGUAAUGGGUAAAGAAGCACCGGCUAACUACGUG
RNAcentral lists this ribosomal RNA (468 nucleotides) under uncultured bacterium. RNAcentral describes it as "partial 16S ribosomal RNA". It matches the Rfam family "Bacterial small subunit ribosomal RNA", at positions 28 to 507 of the family's 1533-position model. The record is from RNAcentral.